This 1325-nucleotide long non-coding RNA is filed under the name Chinchilla lanigera (long-tailed chinchilla). RNAcentral describes it as "lncRNA (ENSCLAG00000028478.1)". Lineage: Eukaryota; Metazoa; Chordata; Mammalia; Rodentia; Chinchillidae. The record is from RNAcentral.
CUUGAGUUUUAUUUUAGAAAAGUAGAGCAGAGCCGUUUCAACUUCUUUAACCGUGAUCCAUGUUUGAAAGGUGUUUCAGCUCCUGCCCCAGUGCACACAGGACAACCUUGAGAAGCACUGUGACAUUUUAGAUUCCAAUCCAGUCUUUCUUUUCUUUCUUUCCAGUUCAUAAUCUCUCUCAGUGAUCCUUUUUUAACUGUAGUAAGAACACAGCGCAAGACCCAUCAUCAGAGUCUGGGUGGGCAACAAAGCGUUGUCAGCCACAGGUGCGAUGGCGUUGGACAGCAGGCCUCCAGAACGCACUCAUCUCCACACUGAAACUUCGGACCCAAAACACGUAUUGCUGGCUACAACCCACUCUACUGAUGCUGGGAUAUUGCUCCCACAAUGAAAGAUCCCGAAGUCAAGGCCCAGGGCUGGCCUUGAAAACUGCCAACAUCCUUGUUGGUCUCCUUGUGGCGGUGCGGAGGAAUGGAGCCCGGCAAGGUGAGGCCACAGUGCCGUCUGUGUCUGCGAAUAAUCUAGGAGGUAAACGGGCACCUCUAGGCCGCUAUCUCUGCCCCCUUCCAUCUGAGAUCUUCAAACUACUGUGGACCCUCCUGUCGUGUCCCACUGCUAGUAACUGAUGUAUUCCCUUCUUGCUCUAGACGUUGUAAAAGUACUGGAAAUAGUUGUUGGGUGCUUUAUUGCCCAUCUGGAAAGGAUGGUGGUCUCAAACAUUCCCAGUCAAGCUGUUUUCCCCGCAAGAGCUAACACUCCAAAUUACGUUGGAGAAAAAUUUAAAAUUCUCAAAGGCAAUGCCUGCUUUUGAAACUGAUUUAUAUUUCCUCAAACGUCUUAUUUUUCCUCCUUGCUUUAUUCAGGGCUGGGGAUUGAACACAGGGUGCUCUACCACUGAGCUACAACCCGAACACGGCUACACUGUUUUUUGAAGUAGGUAAGAGGAUAUUUAUGAAUCAUUUUCUCUUGCUACUUCUAUUUAUAAUUCAUUUGAAUUUUUAUGACUGCUUAUUACCUCUGCAAACAAAGAUAGAGACGCUGUAGUGACAGAACGGUGCAAAACUGUGAGAAAACAUGAGUCUCACGGCGGCAGAGCGCACACAGGCAUCACUAGCGGGCGGGCCGGGACUCACCCCAGUCACGUGCUGCCUAGGUUGGUCCUAGACACGAACUGCUGAUUUUGGAAAUGCUCUUUCUGUAUCUAGGUCAUUUGAACACACUCCUAUGAAUAACUAAGUAUCUUUCUUAGGGUGGGAAGAAUAUCAAGUGAUUCAUUAUUCAUUUGUGAAAACAAUUAGUAAGAUGCCUGGUCGCUGACAUUUCAG